AUCCGGACCGUUGCCGAUCAGCAUCGCGCCCUUGACGGGCGC
Molecule: small RNA, 42 nt
Filed under: Sinorhizobium meliloti 2011
Lineage: Bacteria; Pseudomonadati; Pseudomonadota; Alphaproteobacteria; Hyphomicrobiales; Rhizobiaceae
Description: putative ncRNA
Source: RNAcentral